AGUGAACGCUGGCGGUAGGCCUAACACAUGCAAGUCGAACGGCAGCACAGUAAGAGCUUGCUCUUACGGGUGGCGAGUGGCGGACGGGUGAGGAAUACAUCGGAAUCUACUUUUUCGAGGGGGAUAACGUAGGGAAACUUACGCUAAUACCGCAUACGACCUACGGGUGAAAGCAGGGGAUCUUCGGACCUUGCGCGAUUGAAUGAGCCGAUGUCGGAUUAGCUAGUUGGCGGGGUAAAGGCCCACCAAGGCGACGAUCCGUAGCUGGUCUGAGAGGAUGAUCAGCCACACUGGAACUGAGACACGGUCCAGACUCCUACGGGAGGCAGCAGUGGGGAAUAUUGGACAAUGGGCGCAAGCCUGAUCCAGCCAUACCGCGUGGGUGAAGAAGGCCUUCGGGUUGUAAAGCCCUUUUGUUGGGAAAGAAAAGCAGCAGGUUAAUACCCCGCUGUUCUGACGGUACCCAAAGAAUAGGCACCGGCUAACUUCGUG
RNAcentral lists this ribosomal RNA (492 nucleotides) under uncultured bacterium. Its description in RNAcentral is "partial 16S ribosomal RNA". It matches the Rfam family "Bacterial small subunit ribosomal RNA", at positions 29 to 507 of the family's 1533-position model. The record is from RNAcentral.